GAUGAAGAACGCAGCGAAAUGCGAUAAGUAGUGUGAAUUGCAGAAUUCAGUGAAUCAUCGAAUCUUUGAACGCACAUUGCGCCCCUUGGUAUUUCAUGGGGCAUGCCUGUUCGAGCGUCAUUUGUACCUUCAAGCUCUGCUUGGUGUUGGGUGUUUGUCUCGCCUCUGCGUGUAGACUCGCCUCAAAACAAUUGGCAGCCGGCGUAUUGAUUUCGGAGCGCAGUACAUCUCGCGCUUUGCACUCAUAACGACGACGUCCAAAAGUACAUUUUUACACUCUUGACCUCGGAUCAGGUAGGGAUACCCGCUGAACUUAAGCAUAUCAAUAAGCGGAGGA
RNAcentral lists this unclassified non-coding RNA (337 nucleotides) under soil metagenome. RNAcentral describes it as "partial contains 5.8S ribosomal RNA, internal transcribed spacer 2, and large subunit ribosomal RNA". The stretch from base 1 to 120 matches the Rfam family "5.8S ribosomal RNA", at positions 35 to 154 of the family's 154-position model. The record is from RNAcentral.